UAUCAAAACUGAAACCAAUUCCUACUCAUUGAAUCAAAUCAAAAUCAACAGAUUCUUGGAUUCUUUUGAGUUCCUGUUCUUGUUGUUGUUUUAAUUUACUGCAUUAAACUAGUAAGAAACUUUGAUGUAAUAAUAAUGACUUAUAAAUAUUCAUUUACUGGUACUUUGGGUAGGUUGGGCCGCCAGUGCCAAAGUAUGAAACAUCUUCAUCCCAAGUAUGAAUGCUUGUACUAUUUAGGGGUCCACCAUAACCUUGUCUUAUUUUACUUAUCACCAUAAAUCAAGAUGUUUACGACAUGGUUCUGUGUAUCCACAACAUUAUGCCUACCAAUAUGGUUGAAGCACAAGGAAGAAAACUCAAAGUUGUUGUUUUUAACCGACUUCAUUUAUACAAGUGUGUGAAUGACAACUCAGCUUUAAGGAAUCAAUGGAAAGAACAAAGCUGAGGAUGUCCAGUAAUGUUCAUUUAUUAACUUCUUGAAUGCCGUGCCGGUGUAUGAGACACAAAAGAAAUUACAUUGUGUCUCAGACAGAUCUAAGUUCUAGCAUACGACAGGUGAAAGGUUAAAAGUGCCAGCUCGGCAGGUGGUGGCCUAGUUGUACAUUCCCCACAAAAAUAAUUAAGCUUUUAUGUUCUGUUCUUAAAUGGUGUAAUUUAAAUAAAUAUUUAUAUUUUUAAGAUAC
Spodoptera litura is the source of this 684-nucleotide long non-coding RNA. RefSeq lists it as uncharacterized. The record is from RefSeq and is a predicted model, not a curated record. NCBI's taxonomy places the organism in Eukaryota, Metazoa, Arthropoda, Insecta, Lepidoptera, Noctuidae.